GAUCCCGGAGGUCAACAUCCGACAGCGCAGAGCGCCCUCGGGUGCUGUUUUG
RNAcentral lists this small RNA (52 nucleotides) under Pseudochrobactrum saccharolyticum. RNAcentral describes it as "ffh sRNA". It matches the Rfam family "ffh sRNA". Lineage: Bacteria; Pseudomonadati; Pseudomonadota; Alphaproteobacteria; Hyphomicrobiales; Brucellaceae. The record is from Rfam by way of RNAcentral.